Molecule: unclassified non-coding RNA, 2192 nt
Filed under: Acanthaster planci (crown-of-thorns starfish)
Lineage: Eukaryota; Metazoa; Echinodermata; Asteroidea; Valvatida; Acanthasteridae
Description: serine/threonine-protein kinase Nek8-like, transcript variant X2
Source: RNAcentral
CAUUCAUGUUUCUAUCGUGCGCGGCGCUCGCGCCAUGAUGUGGAUCGAGUGCGCGAGUUGUGGGGAACUACUCGAGGACUGACAUGACCGAGUAGGCCUACUGAGUCGAAGUUUGACUCAGACUUCAGAACUGAGCUGAGUGGCUGAAAGUGAAACGAAUGACACGAUGGAUAAGUAUGAGAAAAUACGUGUGGUUGGGAGAGGAGCUUAUGGGACGGUGUAUCUCUGCCGUCGCCUCAGCGACCAGGAACUGGUCAUCAUCAAGCAGAUACCGGUUGAGCAGAUGACGGGUGAGGAACGACAGGUGGCUGUCAAUGAAUCCAAGGUACUCGCCAUGUUGGAUCAUCCCAACAUCAUCAAGUAUUAUGAGAACUUCCUGGAGGACAAAGCCUUGAGUAUCGUCAUGGAGUAUGCUGAAGGUGGAACUCUGUUUGAUUAUCUGCAGCACAGAGGAAGUGCCCUACUAGAAGAAGGGGAAGUUCUGCGCCUGUUUUGUCAGCUGCUCCUGUCCCUUCAACACGUCCACUCUAAGCAAAUCCUGCACCGAGAUCUGAAGACGCAGAACAUCCUGCUCAACAAGCGACGGGAUGUCUUAAAGAUAGCCGACUUUGGCAUCUCCAAGAUUCUCAGCAGUAAGAGCAAGGCCUUCACCGUGGUAGGCACUCCUUGUUACAUCUCUCCUGAGCUGUGUGAAGGCAAACCUUACAAUCAGAAAAGUGACAUCUGGGCUGUAGGCUGUGUGUUAUAUGAACUGCUUACCUUCAAAAGGGCCUUUGAAGCAGAUAAUCUCCCUGCUUUGGUGAUGAAAAUAAUGCGUGGAUUCAUUGCACCAAUCUCGGACCGCUACAGUGACGAGUUGAAACGGCUUUUGCUGCAAAUGCUGCACUUGGAUCCUGACAAGAGACCGUCCAUCAACCAAGUGAUAGCAGAGCCGAUCAUCAUCAAAAUGUUGGCCAAUGUCUAUAUGGAGAUUGGACGGGUCAAAUGCCCGCUGAAGAUUCCCAAGCCAUUUGUGGUUUCAUCCAGCUCUGUAAACUCCAAGGUACAGAACCAAAAGAACAGCAAGAAAUCCCUCUCCAGGAAAAGCUCCAGUGUAGUUCUGGACAGUAGCACCUCCAACGUGCCCAAGCUCCGCCCACUCUCGACUGUCUCUUUCUGGGGUCAUGGGGUCAUCACCCCUGUCAGACUCCCCCUCCCCCACAGCGACACCCAGAUAGUUCAGGUUGCCACCGGCCGCACUCAGAAGGUGGCUGUCACAAAGAACGGACGACUUAUCAUCUGGGAGUUUUCAUCAGUUGGGGCAGAUUCCACCAUGUUGCCUGGAGCUGUUGACCAGCAGUACCCUACCUUCAUCCCACGCUACUUAGAAGGUCAGUCAGCGGUCACCAUCCAGCAUGUGUCCUGUGGGGAUAUGUUCACAGCUUGCUUGACAGACAGAGGCAUACUGAUGACUUAUGGCAGUGGAGCCCAUGGCAGCCUGGGGCAUGGCAACUACCACGACGUCUCCCAGGCCAAAAUCGUGGAGGAGUUGCUAGGUUACGAGGUUGUCAUGGUAUCGUGUGGUGCAUCGCACGUCAUGGCUGUCACCACUGACAACGAAGUGUUCUCCUGGGGGAGAGGAGACAACGGACGCCUAGGUCUGGACAGUCAGGAAUCCUUUCCUUCACCACAGAGUGUCAGCCUUCCAGCAGUGUGCCACAUUGCCUCGGUACACUGUGGCUUAGAUUGCUCUCUGCUGCUGACAACAGACAAGAAAGUUCUGGCAUGUGGAAGCAACAGAUACAACAAGCUUGGUCUGGAUGAUGUCGGUCCAAACACGAAGACACGCGUCAAAGUUGACGAGAUGCAUACCUACACUCUGGUGGCUUCCCACCCUAUUCACCAAUUGCCAGUCAGGAGUGUUGCCAUAGGAACAGCUCAUGCUGCCAUGGUUACAGUGUGCCGAUAUUCCCAGAGGGAUCCAUUGGCGGAAGAGGAAGGAGAAGACGGAUGAAGUAUUCGCUUUGUAGAGGUGGCAGAAAAAUGCUGCAUUCAUAUUCUGGGGACCAGAAACGUAUUUCGUUUUUCCUAAUACUAGCCGUCUUUGCAGAGCAAAUGGCGUACUGAUGACAAUGUAUGCUUCACUCUUGGCUCCAACCAGUUUGGCCAGCUUGGUUGCGAGACUGAAACCAACUCUCCCAGAAUCCCUUGCU